GACGAACGCUGGCGGCGUGCCUAACACAUGCAAGUCGAACGGGGGUAUUAUUUCGAUGAAUACCUUAGUGGCGAACGGGUGAGUAACGCGUGAGCAACCUAUCCUUAAGAGGGGGAUAACAUCUGGAAACAGAUGCUAAUACCGCAUAAGACCACACUGCCGCAUGGCAGAGGGGUCAAAGGAGCAAUCCGUUUAAGGAGGGGCUCGCGUCCCAUUAGAUAGUUGGUGAGGUAACAGCUCACCAAGUCAGCGAUGGGUAGCCGAGCUGAGAGGCUGAUCGGCCACACUGGAACUGAGACACGGUCCAGACUCCUACGGGAGGCAGCAGUGGGGAAUAUUGGGCAAUGGGGGGAACCCUGACCCAGCAACGCCGCGUGAGGGAAGAAGGCCUUCGGGUUGUAAACCUCUGUCAUUAGGGAAGAAGAAAGUGACGGUACCUAAUGAGGAAGCCCCGGCUAACUACGUG
This 466-nucleotide ribosomal RNA is filed under the name uncultured bacterium. RNAcentral describes it as "bacterial SSU rRNA". It matches the Rfam family "Bacterial small subunit ribosomal RNA", at positions 28 to 507 of the family's 1533-position model. The record is from RNAcentral.